UUUAUUAUAAUUUUUUUAAUUAAGUUAAGUAUUUGUUAUAAAAAAUUAUUUAUUAUUAUAUUAUCGAAGUGCGUAUCACAUAGCUAACUUAAAACACGGAUGAAACCUGGGACCAGUUUCGCAAUAUUAAGCAAGCGACGCAUAAUUCGUUUUAAAACAAGUAGCAACACUAUCUAAAAUAGAAAAUAGAAGAAAUAAACAAAAAAUGCUAAAGCAUUAACGUCUGUGAAAUCCACAAAUUAAUUAAAUUAAUAUGGAAUAAGGAAGCAUUCCCAGAACAAUGGAAAGAGUCCACUAUUUAAUACUGAUUUUUAAAAAGGAGGAGAAAUUGAACUGCAAUAAUUACCAGGGCAUCUCACUCCUACCCACGUGUUAUAAAGUCCUGUCGAAUAUUUUAUUAACAAGGAUGGUACCAUAUGCAGACGAGAUAAUGGGGGAUCACAAGUGCGGUUUUAGGAAAAAUAGAUCGACUACAGACCAAAUCUUUACUAUUCGGCAGAUUUUGGAGAAAAAUGGGAAUUGAAUUAGCCAGUACACCAAUUUUAUAUUGAUUUUCAAAAAGCAUAUGAUUCAAUAAAACGAAAAAAUAUGUUUGAAAUUCAAAUGCGACAGAGGAUACCAAAAUACAUAUAAUAUAUACGUAUACAUGCUAAAUUUUCGAGAUGCCUAAAACUAAUGCAAAGAAAUGUAAUAUCUAUUAUUAUCUCAACAAAAAUGCACCUAAUUAGUGACAAUUAGUAAAGACAUCCAACAUCUUACCAACCAAAAGAAAGGCUUGAUAAUGUACAAACAUAUCCCCCGAUUGACGUGGUAUUUUAUUUACAUGAUUUCACUUUUACAUGGUUUCUAAAUAUGCCCCCGGUUCGGAUCGAGGAGUCUGAACCAGUUGCCUUCACAUCAAAAGUCAUCCAUGAAGGACAUGAAUUAGGAAAAAAAUUGGGUAAUCAUUUUGUAGAAAAUGACCCGAUUGUUGAACGAGCUUUCCUAUUUCAGAAGUAGAUUUGGUAGCAUAGGAGUAAUACAUUUAAUAGAACAAGAAGAUGACGUCAUAUGGUUGCAAACUAAAGCAAUUACAGACCCAUAUACUGCGGUCUUACCAUUUUCAAUGUUUACCAGAUAUAUCCUUCUACGUUUGCAAAAUAAUAACAAUAUCAAUGGCGUUCUAUUGGAAAAAA
This is a long non-coding RNA of Polistes dominula (European paper wasp), 1175 nucleotides long. The record is from RefSeq and is a predicted model, not a curated record. NCBI's taxonomy places the organism in Eukaryota, Metazoa, Arthropoda, Insecta, Hymenoptera, Vespidae.